AUGCUCCUCCGCGCCAGGCUCCCCCACCUCCGCCGCCGCGCGGCGGCGCUGCCCCUGUCGCUGGCGCCGCGCCGGCUCUCGGCCGAGCCUCCGCCGGGCGUCGAAUGGAUAGACACGGUCGACUACCUGGACGAGACGGGGGAGGUCCUCUCGUCCGCGCCCGGGGCGCGCCCCGCUGUGCCGGGCGCCGACCCCACCAUCCUUUCCGGCUCCUCCGCCCACCCGCUCCCGCGCCCCGCCGCGGCGGCCCGCCUCGCCGCGCUCGCGCUCCGCAACCGCUCGGGGCCGUCCCUCUCCGCCGCGCUCUCCGCGCUCCCCUCCCAGCCCGACCCCGCACUCCUCCUCCUCGCCGCCAACUCCCUCCCCGCCUCCGACCCCACCCCGCUCCUCUCGCUCGUCGGCUGGGCCCGCCACCAGCCCUGGUUCGUCCCCUCCGACGAUCUGUCCUCCAUCGUGGCCGCGCGUCUGUCGCCGGCCACCCACUCCUCCGACCUCAUGUCGCUCUUCGACGACGCCCUCUUGCACCCGGAGCCGGCCUCUUUCCCCAAGACCCUCAACGCCGUCGUCUCCGCGCUCUCCACCCACGGCCUCCUCGAGCCCGCGUUCUACUGCUUCAAGCGCCUCCGAGACGCCGGCUUUCAUGGCCUCCAGACGUCCACCUGCAAUGCCCUCCUCUCGCUGCUGCUCGCGAGGGGGCUCGCCUUCAAGGCCUUCGAGGUGCUCGAUGAAAUGUCUGUGGCGGGCUGCGAGCUCGACAAGGGCACUUACGAGCUUGCUGUGCCGGCGCUUGCACGUGCUGGAAGGAUCGACGCAUCACGCAAGCUGUUUGAUGAAAUGAGACAGAGGGAUGGCGUCGGGCCUGCCUCGCCGGGGGUGUACAGCACUAUGGUCGAUGUGCUGUCCAAAUCAGGGAGGCUUGACGCUGCGAUGGGGAUGUACAGGGAGAUGGUGGCAGUGGGGCACAGGGUGAGCACGGCUGUGAGCACCACCAUGGUGGAGGGGCUUGUGAAGGCUGGGAAGCUGGAUGCAGGGAUGGAGCUUUGGGAGGAGAUGCGGCGAGGAGGGCUACGACCAAGCUUUGGGUUGUACACCAUGGUAGUCGAGGCAAAUGCACGGUCAGGGAGGCUGGAUGUCGCUGCGAAGCUGUUUGGUGAUAUGGAGAAGUCUGGCUUCUUCCCUACUCCUGCCACAUAUGCUUGUUUGGUCGAAAUGCAUGCUUCAGCGGGGAAUGUGGAUGUAGCAAUGAGGAUGUACCACUCGAUGGCAAAUGCAGGGACAAGGCCAGGGCUGAGCACAUUUACAGCAUUACUGACCAUGCUGGCGAAUAAGAAGCUGCUUGAUUUGGCUGCAAAGGUGCUGCUUGAGAUGAAGGCAUCAGGGUUCCCCAUUGAAGUGACCGCGAGCGACCUGUUGAUGAUUUACAUCAAAGAUGGGUCGACGGAGCUUGCUCUCCGGUGGCUGCGGUUCAUGGGUUCUGCCGGGAUACGAACCAACAAUUUCAUCAUAAGGCAGCUCUUUGAGUCUUGCAUGAAGAUGGGGCUGUAUGACUCGGCACGGCCACUGCUCGAGACGUAUGUCGGUGCAGCGGCAAAGGUGGACAUGAUACUCUACACUUCAAUCCUCGCACAUUUGGUGCGGUGCCAGGAUGAGGACAGCGAACGGGCGAUCAUGAACAUCCUGAGCGUGAGCAGGCACAAGGCGCACGACUUCAUGUGCGGGUUGUUCACCGGGCCAGAGCAAAGGAAGAAGCCCGUGCUCUCCUUUGUCCGGGAGUUCUUCCAAGGCAUUGACUAUGAGAAUGAGGAGAGUGCGGCGAGGUACUUUGUGAACGUGCUCCUCAACUACCUGGUGCUCAUGGGGCAGAUGAACCGUGCACGAUGCGUCUGGAAGGUCGCUUAUGAGAACAAGUUGUUCCCCAAGGCCAUCGUAUUCGACCAGCACAUCGCCUGGUCCCUGGACAUCCGGAACCUGUCAGUGGGAGCGGCGCUCGUCUCGACAGUGCACACGCUGCACCGGUUCAGGAAGCGGAUGCUCUACUACGGGGUCGUGCCACGGCGCAUCAAGCUGGUGACAGGGCCGACGCUCAAGAUGGUGGUGGCCCAGGUGCUCGCUUCGCUGGAGUCGCCAUUUGAGGUGAGCAAGGUUGUCCUGCGCGCGCCCGGGGACUCGGUGCUCGAGUGGUUCAAGAAGCCGAUCGUGCAGCAGUUCCUGCUCAACGAGAUACCAUCGAAGUCCGAUGUCCUGAUGCACAAGCUGAACGUUAUGUUCCCAAGCUCGGCGCCAGAGGCCCGGUCUCUGGCCCUUCCCAGGUCCCUUGGCAUGUCACGGUGA
Molecule: ribosomal RNA, 2331 nt
Filed under: Triticum aestivum (bread wheat)
Lineage: Eukaryota; Viridiplantae; Streptophyta; Magnoliopsida; Poales; Poaceae
Description: partial small subunit ribosomal RNA
Source: RNAcentral